GAUAAGCUCAUGUCUGAUUAGCUAGUUGGUGAGUUAAUAGCUUACCAAGGUAUUGAUCAGUAGCUGGUUUGAGAGAAUGGUCAGCCACACUGGGACUGAGACACGGCCCAGACUCCCUUGGGAGGCAGCAGUGAGGAAUUUUCCGCAAUGGGCAAAGGCCUGACGGAGCGAUACCGCGUGAGGGAAGAAGGAUUAUGGUUUGUAAACCUCUUUUUUCAAGAAAGAAACCAUGACGGUACUUGAGGAAUCAGCAUCGGCUAACUCCGUGCCAGCAGCCGCGGUAAUACGGAGGAUCCAAGCGUUGUCCGGAUUUAUUGGGUUUAAAGGGUGCGUAGGCGGACUAUUAAGUCAGAGGUGAAAGUU
This 363-nucleotide ribosomal RNA is filed under the name Symbiodinium sp. Mp. RNAcentral's name for it is "partial Bacterial small subunit ribosomal RNA". It matches the Rfam family "Bacterial small subunit ribosomal RNA", at positions 224 to 602 of the family's 1533-position model. Lineage: Eukaryota; Dinophyceae; Suessiales; Symbiodiniaceae. The record is from RNAcentral.